Molecule: ribosomal RNA, 614 nt
Filed under: Aureobasidium pullulans
Lineage: Eukaryota; Fungi; Ascomycota; Dothideomycetes; Dothideales; Saccotheciaceae
Also listed under: 2 other names
Description: eukaryotic LSU rRNA
Rfam family: Eukaryotic large subunit ribosomal RNA
Source: RNAcentral
GCAUAUCAAUAAGCGGAGGAAAAGAAACCAACAGGGAUUGCCCUAGUAACGGCGAGUGAAGCGGCAACAGCUCAAAUUUGAAAGCUGGCCUUCGGGUCCGCAUUGUAAUUUGUAGAGGAUGCUUUGGGUGAAACGCCAGUCUAAGUUCCUUGGAACAGGACGUCAUAGAGGGUGAGAAUCCCGUAUGUGACUGGAAAUGUUAACCUAUGUAAAGCUCCUUCGACGAGUCGAGUUGUUUGGGAAUGCAGCUCUAAAUGGGAGGUAAAUUUCUUCUAAAGCUAAAUAUUGGCGAGAGACCGAUAGCGCACAAGUAGAGUGAUCGAAAGAUGAAAAGCACUUUGGAAAGAGAGUUAAAAAGCACGUGAAAUUGUUGAAAGGGAAGCGCUUGCAAUCAGACUUGUUUAAACUGUUCGGCCGGUCUUCUGACCGGUUUACUCAGUUUGGACAGGCCAGCAUCAGUUUCGGCGGCCGGAUAAAGGCUCUGGGAAUGUGGCCUUCACUUCGGUGAAGGUGUUAUAGCCCAGGGUGUAAUACGGCCAGCCGGGACUGAGGUCCGCGCUUCGGCUAGGAUGCUGGCGUAAUGGUUGUAAGCGACCCGUCUUGAAACACGGACC